Long non-coding RNA from Sapajus apella (tufted capuchin), 4903 nucleotides. RefSeq lists it as uncharacterized. The transcript has 3 exons. The record is from RefSeq and is a predicted model, not a curated record. NCBI's taxonomy places the organism in Eukaryota, Metazoa, Chordata, Mammalia, Primates, Cebidae.
AAUCAUAAAAUUUUUGUGUCAGAUCUUAAUUGAAAAGUAUUACUUAAAAUUGGAAAAAAUUACUUAAAAUUGGCAAUUUCUUUCCUGUCUUACAACUUCUUCCUGUCUUCAGGAAAUGAAGAAUAGAUAUGUUGGUUCUAUCAGGGAAACCUUAUGAAGGAUAAACAAAUCAAUGUCUGUGCUUUACUUCCAAAUUGUACUAUCAGAAAACCUUAUUGUUCACUUACAUAAUCUAUAGAUGUCUCUCAGAAUGAUCUUAAAUUAAAAUGUCACUUAAAUAUAAUUGACUAUGGAGAAGAACAGAAGCAUGCUGAUUUUGAAAAUGUCAUUAAUACUAGGAUUAAGUCACUCUUAAACAAGAAUACUUAGAAUAACAAGAGACUAAAUGUCUAGUAAAACAUUUUAGAUUGUAAUCCCCAGUAUUCUGUAGUAUUAACAAUGAGAACUUAAAGUACUGAUGAAGAAAUUAAACUUGUCCAUUUCAUUUCAUUUUUCUUAAAGCUCUUAAAAUGAUCCUGAAAACUUUAGUUUUACAAAGUGUGAACUUCUUAUGGACCAUUAAAUUGGGGGGUAAUGUGCUGAUUUUUGUCCGGCAACCCUACCUCUGAUGCAGGAUAAUUUUUUUGUCUUUUCAAAACUGUUGCUCUUCCUAUAGCUGUAUAAUAAAAGACACUAAAGAGGAAAAACACUUGUGUGUUUGCUGUUAGAGUAAGAAAAAAUUACAGCUAGGACCUUUUUGAAAAACCUUGAGAACCAAUUUACUUUUUUUGUAUGUAAAUUGUUGAGGAGUUAGAACUCGCCUUGGUUACUUUAACUGCAGGUAAACUUAAAAGAUUUAAAUCUUCAAAAUAGACAUCAUGUAGGGCUUAUUAGAAAAGAAAUACAGAUUAUUGGGUAUAUAGAGAUUAUAUAUAUGUAUACAAUUUUUUUUUGAAUUUUUAUUUGUGAGAGCAUGUUAAAUAUCUUAGCCUUAUAAUAGCAUAGAAUAGAAUGGACAAAUGUGUUAUCUCUUUUAGCCAGUUGAGAGAACACUUUGAAUUAAAUUUCCAACCUAAUGAAAAUUAUAAGGUGGGUUAUAAAGAUAUAGGUUAUUAUUUCUUACCCAAACUAAAGGUUUAUUAUAACUAAAAUACUUUUAAUCUAAGAAGGCUCUCCAAACAUACAUCUUUUUAAAAGUGAGCUUUAUUUUAUGAUAGUACAUAUUUUAGCAAAUAAAAGUUUAUUUCACUAUCCUAGAACUAGUGUUCUAAUUUCAGAUUAGUUUUGUAGCAUGUAUAAAUAAAAUGGGAACCUGUGAGAUCUUGCUCUAUAGUAUCAAAAAUAAGAUCUUUUUCUAACAAUUUUUACUAAUAACUUAUCCAUCUCAAUUCAUAGAAGGUAAUAAAAUCAACUAUUGUUCUAUGAUUUUGAUCAUAUGUAGGAGAGAAACACAAAAUAAUGGUACCAAGGGCUUCUUCCAUUGAAACUAAUAUCUGGGAGAAUAUUUGAUUCUCAUGUGUACAUAUACACACAUCCAUAUUAGUAUUUUUUUAAUCACAUAAGAAUGAUUUGUCAAAGAUCAGGUUUCUGAUUUGUCUUUCAUCAGUAUUGGUGCACCACAUUUUGUUUUUGUUUUUGAAGUGGUCUUAGCCAGUUCAUGCUAGUCCCUACUAGAAAUUUUGUUUCCCUGGCAUAAUCAUGCUCUUUACCUACUCUGAUAGCUGGAGGGAGGUGAGAGAAGCAGUCUUACGUGUCUGCCAAUACUGAUUUUUUUAGAGAUGGGACGACAACAAAUUUUUGUUUUUUGAGGCAUCUAAACCAGCACAAAGAUAAUUUGAGCCAUAAAUAGCAGCUACAUAUGUAAUUUUAAGUUUUUAUUGGCCAUGUUAAGAAAAUAAAAAGGCAAAAUUAGUCUUUAUUACAUUUUAUUUAACCCAAUAUAUAUAAAAAUAUAAUUUCAACAUAUAAUUAAUAGAAUGUUUUAUGAGAUUUUUUUUCAUACUCAGCAUUCAAAAUCUGUGUUUUUUAUACUCACAGCACAUCUUAUAUUUGACUAGCCACAGUUAAAGUGCUUGAUAGCCAGACAUGGCUAGUUACUACCAUAUUCCACAGUUCAGAUCUAGACAAUGAAUGGAAUUCUUAUUUUAGCCUCAUCCAUGCUAAAGUCCAUUGUAUGACCCCCCCCUUUUAGUGUUUCCAAAUUUAGCAGAAGUAAAAAACAAAAUAGCAUGUCCAGUGUAGUUUGAAUUUCAAGUAAAUAACAAAUAAUUGUUUAGUGUAAUUGUGUCCCAUGUUACAUUUGGGGCAAACUUUUACCAAAAAAGUUACUGCUUAUUUAAAAUUCAAAUUUGACUGAGUAUCCUCUGUUUUAUUUGACAACCCUUCUCUGGUUUAACUUGAGAAGAGGACAUUAUCAGGCUGCCUGGAAUCUUAGACGACUAGAAAAUAAAGUAUCUCUUCCUCUGUGCAGGAUUUUAUUAACCCUCCAAAAAUCAGCCUGUAAACUAGAAAAAAUCUGUAGCCCAUUUCUUCCUAAUUAUCUAGUAGGUUUAAGACAGAAGAGGCACUUAGUCCAUACAUAUUUAAACAUUUUAAAUCAAAAUUAUUUAGGUAUAAGGUUUAUGAAAUUUUAUAAUUUGAAUGAUUACUUGAAUUUAUAAAAUAUAGAUCAUCUAACAGCACAUUGCUGCUAUCAUUUUUCUUGAAACUAGUGCUCCCUUGGCAGUUACCACAGCAGUUUUCAGGGUCUCGGCCAUUUCAAGGUAUUUUCCUACCAUUGAUUCCCAUUGCAUCUGUCACAUAAAUCUCCGGUAGUCAAGCAUUAACACAAAAUACAAGGCUACUGAAUGCCAGGAUUAGGCUUACUUCAUUACAAGUAUUUAAGUACUUGUAAUUCUUUGCUCUGGUGUUGACCAUUGGAUCCUGACCAGUUCAACAGUCAGUCUCCUAAGGGCUUCUUUUGCAGAACGAACAUCUUUUCAUUUUCAUUCUUUAACAUUUUUAAUGUAUUAAUUUUAGUACUAUUUUUGAAGCAUACAGUCACCUCCUUAGUAGCAUGGAUCUGCCCUCUUUAAGUGCUGCAGAAAAGGCUGUUUGUCUCAAAGACAGCCAUUGCACCACCUCCCUCUCAGAGAAUACUUUUCUUCACAAGCUACAUGACUCUAGGUGACGGGCCUACAUUAUUAUUUACGUAGGCAGAUGGAUGCCAACUACCAGAACAGGGUGGUAUAAUUUAGCAGUUCUGAGGCUAAGUUAUGGUGCAUUCCAAAUCCAUUCACACUUAGGAGAAUGUACCCAAGAGUGUGGGGAUGUUUACAAUUACUGCAUUUCCUUCAGAGAACAAGAACUACAGGUAAGUGUGUGUGUGUGUGUGUGUGUGUGUGUGUGUGUGUGUGUGUGUGUGAUCGAAAUAAGUAUUUUUAAAUAAUAAAUUUCAGGAUGUGAAAGUAUUGUCCUUCCCCCAAAACAGUCACCUGAAAGGUCUCAAAUAUAGUUUUCAGUAUAUAAUGUUUUUCUUCCUCACUCUAAGAAGGAAUUGGAGCUGGUGGUGAUGGUGGAGUUGGGAUGAGGGAGACAACUUAUUGUCAUUUGAAAUCUGUGGCUGUCACACAUUUUCAUGUCUAGAAAUAUCCUGGGUUUAUGUAAGAAUCUUAUUUUUGCCUAACCUCUAAUGUCUAAGGUAUGAAUUAUUUUGUCAGAUAAACACAUCUAUAUAUAAGUAAGGUGUUCAGCCUUUCUUAACUAAUGUCUUCAACAGCAGUGAGUAAAUUAAUGAGUUGUGUCUGGGUUUUCACUUUUAUUCUUAACACUGACUUCCUUUUUUUUUUUUUUUAAGUGGCUUUUGCCUUAUUUCUGAAACCAUAAUUUAAAACUACAAAAGACCUGAAAUAUAAUCUAGUACUUUUUACCUGGGGAUUAUUUAAUGGAUUUCAGAGAUUCUGCGAAUCCCCUGAAAUUACAGUCAUAUUUUGUAUACAUGUGUUUUUAGUGUGAAGAAUGUACAUAAUUUUCAUAACAAAAAAAUUUGUUCAACACCCACUGUGAUCUAGUCUAAUGUGAUUAUUUUACUGAUAAACUAACAUUUAAAGAAUUUAAGUAACUUCAUUCAUUUGAAAUUUAAUACUUGUGAAAAUUAAAGUUUAUUUCUUUAAAAUUCAUGCUGAUUUUUAAAAGAAAAUACAAUUAAUUUCAAUUAAUUAAACUUGAAAAUACCAGCCCAAAUGGGAGCAGUUAGUUUGCUAAUGGUUUCUUCUGUUCUGCCCUUUGAUUGGACUCUACUAGUUAACAUUAAAGUGGCCUUCCAUUAAGGUAUGAAACUAUGUGAUAAGUUCUUGAAGAUAGAUUAAAAAGAAAAUGAAUUAUCCAUUAUCAUUUAAGUCCUUUUUUUGCUUUUCAAAUUGUGUCUCCAAAACUAAAACUCAAGAAAAUAGGUGAAUAAUGUUUUUCCAGAAUAUUUUAAAAGUAGGUAAUUGCCUUAAUAAACAUUACACUGGGCAUUAUUGGGACAGUUUUAGGUUCUGAACCCUAGUUAAAGAGAUUCUUCAAUAGCCUAUAUACACUUCCUGUUGUUUUUCAGUGAUUACGGCACUUCAAGGUCUUUUUUAUCAUGAGAUGCUUUUAAUGUUAUAGUAAGACUUCAGAAAUGGUAAGUAAGCAAGUUCUGUAUUAAUUAGGGAAACUAAUACCUUUCUCAAAAUAAAGGAAAUACUAUUUUUUUCUUUUGCUUUUCUUGGUACUAACCAGUAAAGUCUGCCUAGUUUAAUAUCUAGUCCAUUUAUACCAUAAAUUGAAUAUUAGAAUAAAAAGAAAUUUAGAGGGUGUUAUACAGAAGACAAUUAUUUUCUGAAAGGAGUAGAAAAAAAGUAAGGCAACUUGUAACACUACGUGUGUGUGUGUGCGUGUGUGUGUGUGGGUCUGUGUCUGU